GCGGGAAUAGCUCAGUUGGUAGAGCACGACCUUGCCAAGGUCGGGGUCGCGAGUUCGAGUCUCGUUUUCCGCUCCA
This 76-nucleotide transfer RNA is filed under the name Escherichia coli. RNAcentral's name for it is "tRNA-Gly". It matches the Rfam family "tRNA". Rfam says of the family: Transfer RNA (tRNA) molecules are approximately 80 nucleotides in length. The record is from RNAcentral. RNAcentral also lists the same sequence under 44 other names. Lineage: Bacteria; Pseudomonadati; Pseudomonadota; Gammaproteobacteria; Enterobacterales; Enterobacteriaceae.